GGUAAUUUAUGCUUGAUAUAGUACAUGCACGUGUAAGCUGUGGACGUUUGUAAGCGUGGCGGGCUGUACAACCGCGCGCACAUAUAAUAUAAUUGUGGUGGGUCUCCCACCGAACCGGGAUCCAGAACGUGACAGCGGUCGGCUCCAUUCAUUUAGACAAGAAUCUAUUGAUGAGAAAGUGACCCUUGGAAUAGGAUAAGAUUACUCUAAUGUGACGGCACCACUUCCUUCCUUGAGGUUGGCAUCUAUCUAUUUUAUGAAGUUCUGGUCUACAUCCCGGCCCAUAUCAAGUUGGGGAGAAAAAGAUCUUCCUAUUUUCGUGGUAUCUAUCUAUUCGCUGCUUCAUAAGUUUCUAUUUCAAGUCCAAAGUUACAGUGCUCCGGUUAUGAAUCCAUGGGCUUCAAGAUGAGUACUGCGGGCUAGCUCGAUCUUACUUGAGGAUGACUUGGCCACUAUGAUUGAAUGAAUUCAGAGUGGCAUCGGUGGUGGUGGCAUGAGCUACUUCUUGCUUCGGAACAUUUGGGACAUGACGAGUGAUGAUGUAGUCUUUUAAGCUAAGCAUGUGUUCAGAGAAGCAAAUGGAGCCGUGGAUUGGAUGGCUUUGUAUAUGUUCAGUCACUCCGAAGACAGUCUAUGGCUUUAUUUAAAGCGCUCUCGAAUUUGCUGUUUUCUAAUCUUAUUGGAUGUAUUCGUACUAGGACUGUAUGAAUCAUCUGUUUCAGCAAAAAAAAAAAAAAACCUUAGAGAUGAAAAAAAAAAUCCAAAUAGUACAUGAAAUGGACAUCUAUCCAUCCUAAACACCAUGAAAUACUUAAAAAAUGGAUAUGAUUAAGAGUCUCCAUCCCUCUAGUUCAACUCCAAAAUGGAAAGAAUUUAAACUCGAAUAGCUUUGAUGAUGACUGGAUGCCGAUCGAUAAGACCGUGAUAUAGAUAGGAGCUAUAUGAUCAUCCAGGCUACCAGGGAAAAAAAAAAGAGGAAGAAAGAAAUGUAUUUGGUGGCGGCGUGUGAGAUAGACGUUCUUUCGUGCAGGUCGCUGCAAUGUGCCGUCCGUGAACAUAAAGAUAGGGAGGAGAUGUCAAUGGCUUUCGUUUGAUGGGAAAUUCUAGGCGACGGCCCGGACCACACCAUUGAAGAGAACCACGGAAGUUCAUGAGCAUGUAAGAGAACUGAAUCAUUAGUACAAGCUUGGAGGAGCUCAUGAGCAAACGACCUGGAUGAUGACAAGCUCCAUGCUUCAUUUGAGCCUCCUCAAGCUGGAGAUGUUAUAUUUUGUUUGGACUUCUGGGAGCACUCUUCCAUGUCAUGGCAAUUUGAAUUUAUAAGUUCAAUUGUAAAUCUAGUCCGCAAAUUCUUGUGUUCAAAGAUAAAUCAAUCUGUUCUGCUAAACUACUGCAAUGUAAGCCGCAUGACAUUAUAGAUUUUUUUUUUUUUUUUGCC
Molecule: non-coding RNA, 1438 nt
Organism: Phoenix dactylifera (date palm)
Lineage: Eukaryota; Viridiplantae; Streptophyta; Magnoliopsida; Arecales; Arecaceae
Source: RefSeq, a predicted model, not a curated record